GGAUUCACAAAAAUGUUUGCACCAAGUUUUCUUGAGUUAUUGAAUUGAGAUCAUUGACUAAUUUAUAGUACAAAACUUUUGAUGCUAUUAAUGGAAGUUUAUUAUUAUUAAAUUUUAGUUAUCUAUUAAUAACCACAUCUUAUAUAUAUAUAUAUAUAUAUAUAUAUAUAUAUAUUUCUCUGAGUCAACUAUAUCUAAUUAACCAUGGAAACCAAAAAUGGUAACUGCUGUUGAAUGUAACAACAGAUGUCGAAUGUAACCAGCAGAUGUUGAUUGUAAGUUUGUAACUAACAAAUCCCUUAUAUAUGUUAAUUGAGAAGCAUUACAACAUUUUUUUGUAUCCACGUGUCAUCACUAGAAUGAUUUUUAAAAUCCUUAGAAAAAUAGGUUUGUCAAAUUAAAUAUAUAAUAAUGUUUUUAUUAAACUAAGCAUAAAUUGAUUAUUAAUGUUUUUUAUUAUUUCCUUAAAAAAAAGUUACAGAAUUGUCUAAUGUGUCUAAAAUAUACUCCCUCCGUUCCUUAAAGAUACAUAUUCUAGAGAAAAAAAUUGUUUCAAAAAGAUCCAUUUUUUUCAUUUUUAAUGCAUGUUUUAUUAAUUAAUUGCAAACUUCAAAAAACUUAAUUGCACUAAUUGAUUUUUUAUUGGCUUAAAAUUAUAGAAAAAAAAGAUAAACACAAAAAAUUAUGCAAAUUUAAUGUGUUUUAUUAAAAUGUGUGAAAAACUAGAAUAUGGAUCUUUUAGGAACAUAGGGAGUAUAUGAUAAUUACUUAUUUUGAAUAAUAAAUAUUUGAUAAAAAUUAAUGUAUAUUCUAUCAUAUUUGUUUAAUUUUAAACUACUAAAAUCAAUUAAACAACCACAUUAACCAUAUAAUAAAAAUUUAGAUUUUUCUGCAUAUGUUAUAUUUUGAAUUUUCAAAAUCGACCAUAAAUUACUAAUACUGUUAAAGUCUUACAUUCAAAUUUUGUGAUCCAUAAUUUAAAUUGUUAUAAUAAAUAAAAAUGAUUACAAAAUCAUAUAAGUAGAAAGUAUCAUUUAAUAAUUAUUAAAAUUAAGGAUAUAUAUAUAUAUAUCAUUUUAAAUUAAACUAUAUACCAUAUAAAAUACAUAAAUAUUUUAAUUUCAAAAUUUACUUUGAACAAAAUUUUCUUGAUAAAAUCUUUCGGCGAACAUCAACAACUUAAUAUUUCAAUAAUAUAUAAAUUACUAAAACUAUUAUUCCCACAAUGAAAAUUUUGUUAUCAGUAAUUUAAAAUUUUUGCUAUAAAAAAUACACAUGAUCAAAAAAAUCAUAUGAGUAGAAACCAUCAUUUAAUAGACAUUAAUAUUAAAUAUCUACUAUAUAUAUGUUAAUAUUAUUUAAAUUUAAUUAUAUAUUCUAUCAAAUAGAAAAAAAAAUAUUGUUUGGAUUAAUAAAGUUUUAUUUAUAUGUUCGCAUCAAUUUAAUUAUAUAUGUAAUAAUUACUGAUUUUUUAAUUAUUUAAUAUAUAUUUAUUAUUUAAUAAUAUGUAAAAACAUAUAAUAAAUAAAAUAAUUUUAUAUAUAAUGUUCAUUCUGCGCAGGCGCGGGUAUAUAACCUUCAGGAACAGAGGGCACAAGUUCAAGUUGUGGAGUCAAAAAGAAACAUCUUCUUCUACACAUAUCUAUUUAGUAUUGUGAUGCAACAUGUCUUCCUCUUGUUUGCUUGCCGGCAGGAACGAGGCUGUGAUCGAAGAAAGAGAGCAAGGGAUUCAAGAAAUACAUAAUCAGAUUGGAGAGAUUAACGAAAUAUUCAAAGAUCUUGCGGUUCUUGUUAAAGACCAAGGAGUCAUGAUAGGUGAACAAAAUCUAUAAGAGCAUGGCCACAGUUCUACAGUUGCGGAGCUCACUUUAUUUGUUUAAAUUGGCAGAAGAUAUUGGUACUCACAUUGACAACUCUCGAGCUGAAACUGCUCAAGGAAGAUCUCAGCUCGCACAAGCCUCAAACACACACAAAGAUCAAACUCAUCUCUGACAUGCUUGCUCUUGGUGAUAUUUGGCAUUUUACUCCUGAUCGUGAUUAUUGUUCUCGCAGCUUGAUGUUGGAAAAGCAAGAACAAGUUUUUUGGAAUGUUUUCAUCGAUCGUAAAAGCAUCAACGAGUAUGUAAUAGACUGGGUGGUGUGGUUUUUUUUAUUUGUUGGAGAUAAGCGUCUUGCUUGUAUUUCUCCUAAAUUCUGAUAAACCGGAACUCUGGAAGUAUCAUGGAAGAGAUUGGUUUUGCACCGGUUCAAACUUGCCAAAAAAAAAAGUGAUUGAGAUUGAGAGAAGCGUGUUGCUGCAGUCACAAGGAAGUCCAAAAGCUAAUUUAUCAAGACUGCUUCGGGUUCUUGCAAGCUUAUUGGAGAGAAGAUCCCACAUCGGAUAUAUGAAAGAGACUUGAGUAAUAUAUAAGGGACUUGGGUCAAUCCACUAAUUGCCAAUUGGUUUUAAGUUGGAAGCCCAGGAAACUUAUCAUGGUAUCAGAGCCAGCCCAAUACCCUGACCCAUUAAUCCGGCCCGGACAGUGGCCCGAUCAUCUCAUUAGCUGAUGGCCCAUAGAAGGCUCAGUUCCACCGAGAUCGCUAGAAAAAAAAAGCAUGAUUUCAGAGGGGGUAUGAUGGAUUCUGCGAGAUUAAUGGUUAUACGCACCAUUAUCUCGAGGGAAGAUAUUGGAGAGAAGAUCCCACAUCGGAUAUAUGAAAAGGACUUGAGUAAUAUAUAAGGGACUUGGGUCAAUCCACUAAUUGCCAAUUGGUUUUAAGUUGGAAGCCCAGGAAACUUAUCAAAGCUUCAACCUCGUGCAACAAGAAUUGAAAACGCAAACAUACUCUGUAUGAUUCCUGAUUCCGGCAGCGACAUCCAAGACGAGGGAUCUAGUUUAGGUCUUGGAUCCACUCUCUUGAAGAGGCUGUAUAGAUAAGCUGAGGAACAAUCUUAACGAUAUGAACCUAAACAAGAUAUCGAGAUAAUUGACUUGAUGCCGUGCAUGUAAAGGAAUCUUAAACUGAUUUCAUCAUUUUCAUAAUCUCUAGAAUUGAUUUCUGUUGGGAUUGUGUGAGCCUAUGUCCAACUCUAUCUUAUCUUAUUAGUACUAUAUUGUCCACUUUGGGCUUUAGGCAAGCUCAUGGAUUUAGUUUUGGUUUCUUUUCCAAAAGGCCUCGUACAUUAGAGAUGGACAUCUCUUUAUAUAUUAGAUUUUCCUUUGUCUAAUAUCUGAUACGGGACUUAACUUGUUAUCUCACAUUCUCCUCUUCAAGCUAAGGAUCACAUCCAUCUCGUGUGUUUCCUUCGGCGAAUCAUUUUUGGCACCACUUUGUACCGGUAAUCGUAUGGCUUCCUUUGAGAAUGUUCUUUCUCCGACAACAUCACAGAUUCCAUGAUCUUCUGACUAAUAUCUGCCAAACCUCAUUUUUCUUCCUUAAAGGAUCAUGUUCUUACUUAAGGGUAUUUUGGUCUUCUUGCAGAUCUUCGUCAACCGUUCUGAUACCAAUUGUUGGGAUUGUGUGAGCUCAUGUCUAACUCUAACUUAUCUUAUCAGUGCGAUAUUGUCCAUUUUGGGCCUUAGGCAAAUCCGCAUGGAUUUACUUUUGAUUUUCUUCCCAAAAGGCCUCGUACAUUAGAGUUGGACAUCUCUUUAUAUAUUAGAUUUUUCUUUGUCUAAUAUCCGAUGUGGGACUUAACUUGUUAUCUCACAAUUUCGACAUGAAUCUCAAUGACCGACCUGUUUGAACUGAAACUGUAUUAGUGAUGGACCUAAUUCACACCUAAAAACUAGCUCUACAUAGAUAGUAAACCACCAUGGGCUAUGAUACCAUAUUAGUAAUGGACCUGACUCACACCCAAAAGCUACCUCAAUGAAUGGAGGAUUGCCACAUCACAUAUAUAUUGUCCAAGGAUGUUAAUAAUCUGAAAGCUAAAGAAUCUUUUUCAAUGAUCGGACCUGAUGAUUUCAUCAGAAUCUCUAACCUGAUGAGAUGAGAUGAGAUAGAGCUCCAGCAGUAUGUGGCGGAGAAGGUGAAGAUCACGGCUAUGAUCGAUCUCCGGCCACCGUAUUCCGGUGUUUGCUACCCAUCGAUUUGAAUUUCAUAACUCUAGUUCAAGCGCUACACAGAGACUAUUGCUUAUGCUUGCUCUAGUGAGGGUAAAGUCCGGCGAUCAAUUUGGAUAAGUUGCCGGUUGAACAAGCAUAUCUCGACCCGGUUUUGUUAAUUCGAAAUGGGCCGGUCUAGUCCAGUAAGGCCAGACGAUUUUUAAUCGUAAGGAAAUUAAAAUAAAACAUAACUUAUAUGAGUUGACCAUAUUAUUGGGUUAGUGGAAAGAACUUAUAAUUUAAAAAAAAAAUGAGAAAGAAAAAAAAACAUCUUUAUUUAUGGAAAAGCGAAAGCUAAAAAUCCCACGAAACCCAUGAAAAUUUGAAAAGAAAAGACAAAGAAAUCAAAUUUUACAAAAGAAGAAUCCAAUUAAGCUUUAGGACUUUGAAAUUGAAUUCUCUUCGUUAUAUAUAACAUAUAUAAUUAAUUUAAAUUUUAUUUUACUCUCUUAACAUCUAACCUUAUUCAUUUCAAUGCUUAAAAAAAGAACGAAAGAAAUUGAAAAGUUGAUGAAAUAUCAUGAAUAAUAUGUUUUGAACUUUUACUCGAUAAUAUUGUAUUCUCUUUUUCUCAUAAUCAUCGCUGACAUAAAAUUCGUGCCGUGCGAAGGCUAGUAAGGGGCCAAAGCAAAAAUAAUUUAUUUUAUAUCAAAUAUGCAUAUUAAUUUUUAUUAAUACGAACCAGAAAAUAAAUUGUUUUCUUAUCUUAUGAAAAUUAAUGGCAAAAGUUAUAUUUUGGUUACAACUGAAAAUUGUAUAUAGAAACUCAAACUAUAUGCAGGAAAAUGUUUCAACAUUCAAAAUAAAAAAUAUACAAUGAAAUUAAUAUUCACAACAACUAAGCAGAAAUUGUCAUAUUAUUGAAAAGUAUUAAGAAAUAAUUAUAGUUUUUAUCAUAUUAUCAUAUAUUGAUUAUAUGAUUUAUGAAUAUGGAAGCCCUAAAAUGUACUAAUGUGAGAGAGAGCCUGGGACCAAUGUCCCAAAAUUGAUAAAGUGAGCACGGCUCUCCAUAAGAUCUCUGUUUGGAAUUACUUGAAACAUUAGAGUUGAAUUACAAUGGUGGUCGUCAUACACUAUACGUACAUGUGUUCAUUGUAUGUCUACGACGUCUAAGAACAGAUAAAUAUUUUUUUUUUUUUUUUUUUUUUUUUUGACAGCAAGAAAAUUUACAGACUCAUAUAGACUCUGUAAACCAAUGUGGUAACUCCGCAUCCAUGUGUACGACGAAAGACGGUUGUGUCCGAGCACUACGUGCCAAGCGAUCCGCCUUUAUGUUUUCCGUCCUUGGAACAUGAACAAUCUCUGAGUUGGUAAAGCUUCUUCUCAAAAACUUAAUGUCAUCAAGAACAGAUAAAUAUUUCUAUGUCAUUAUGCGAACUCCAGGGUUAAAAACAGCAAAACGUGAACGUUCCUUUAGUCUUCUAUUUUGCUUUUCACGUUUCAUUUUACAACUUCCAAAGAUACACAUUACUUUCACUUGUAAACGUUAAUUAAUACAAACGAUCCUUUUUUUGUUACUUUUGAUAUUUUGCUACAAAUAAAAGUAAUUAAUAAAAACAUUACUUUUACAACUUCCCAGACGCACAUACAAAAUAUCAAAAAAUAGUUUAAACUAUUUAAAAUUUUCUGUAACAAAGUAAGAGUUAUGACAUCUAAAAAAAUUAAGAUAUAAAAUUCAUAAAUAUUUAAAUGUCUAAUGUGAACUAAUUUUGGUUCUCUCUACCAUCAUGCACUUCAUUUUUUUUCAGUGGCAUAGUGAAAUCUUCAUCAAAAUCUAAAAAUCAUAAAUAUAUAAUUGAAAAGGAAAAAUCUAACUUUUUUUUUGUCAGCACCUAACUUCUUAAUUGGAAACUUAGAAUAUAAAACAUAAUCUAAAUUUUUUGUUUUAAAGUUAUUUAUAGGUUGAAUCAGGUUCUGGGUUUUACUGGAUUUUUGUGGGUUUCUAAAUAUUAGGUUUUUCGCAAAAUCUAAACCAAAUUUUUUCUGGAUCACUGGGUUUACCGGUUCAACCGCAGAUCUGGGUCGAGUUUCAAAACACUGGCUGAAACACAUACUAUCUAACAAAAAACAAAACAAUAAACAAAGCAAGACCUAAUGCGGUAUCAUUCCGAAUGGUAACUGCGAUUUGAGCGGUACGGGAGAAGCGGUUUAACUGCAGUGCGGUUUUAACAGUUAUAAAAACAUAUAGAUAUAUGGUAUAUGUAGAGAUUUUUAUUAGUGUUAACUGCGGUGCGGGGUGGAGUGGUUCGUAACAUUUGAAGCCUGAAUUGUCCAAUGCUAAAGUUUUGGAUUAUAAUGAAAACGUAGGUCCUUUGUGGUGAUGAAGAUGAUUGAUUGAUAUAUGGCCCAGUCACUCUUUCUUUUUCUGACAUUUCCUUUAUAAUAUGAAAAUCUUUAUUAAGUUCUCCUACAAAACAUUUAACUAUUUAAAAGUAACCCAGUAGAUUUGCAUGCUGUGUAUCUCUACACUUUUAAUAACAAGAAUAACCCAUAUUUUGAUUUAAAAUAUACUAAUAUGUACUUGUUGGAGUUUAAGAAAACUUCUAAUGUUUUAAAAUUUCAAUUAGGAUCAGAUACAUUUCCAUUAACUUUCUCUCUUUCGUUGUGCUAUGAAACGGUAAUCUUUUCAUGAUUUAAUAUUAAAUUCUCAAUUGAUAACAAAUUGUGAAAAGAGAAGCUUUAAAGAAAAAAACCUUUAAGGAAAGUGAAUUAAUGGUCCUCUUUCAAUUAUUUUAUUCCCCCGAUUAGUACUAAAUUAAUAAAAAAUGAAACCCAAUUUUGGUCAUGAUUUGCUUUAUUUUAAAUUUGUCAAUAGCAUAAUUAGCCCUGAAGUUUUUUCCUCCUUUAUAUAUUUGUGCCCAAAAUUCCUCUUCGACCAAAUAUCUUCAGUACAUCUCUCUAGUUUCUUUUCUCUUCCCAACAGUAAUAAACAAAGAUGCUUAUUCGAUUUAAGAAAAGCUCAAAAAUAAAGAUGGUGUCCAACGUUCAUGCGUAGACGUUUUAGUAUGCAACUACUAUAUACAUAUAUAUAUUGAUGUGUCAUCAUGCCUGGCUCCCUGUAUGCCACAAGUGGGUAUCGAUUUUGUUAAAAAAUUGGCUGCUGGUGGCGUACGAGGAGCCAAGCAUGACCAGAAGAAGCAAAUAAUACUCAUAUAUGGCAUAUAUAAAUAUCAUAUAUCAGCAUCUAUAAUAUAUGGUUUUGUUUUAUUUGGAUUUCUGCUUUUUAGUUUACUUUGGAUUUUGAUAGGAAAUGAAACAACGUUUUAUAGUCUGAUGAUUUAUAGUUUACGUUUGGAUUUGGUUUUCAGUCAUCAAUCAUUAGUUUUUAAGAAAUUUUGUUUGUUUUUGUUUUCCUAUUUGUUUUACUUUGUCCAAGGUUCAUUACACUAUAUUUAACUGAUUAAGAUUCGGUACAAUACUGAAUCGAAUUGUGUUGAGGUCUAUAUAAAAAUCAGUUUGAUUUGUUUUUUGUGCACAUAUUUAUUUAUACUUUCGUUAUUUUCGCGCGGGUCAAAAUUUAGUUUUCUUAUUAAUUUAAAAUUUAUAUUAGGUUAAGAUAGUAGUAGUUAAGAUUUUUUUUUUCAAUUAAAAAAAGAUAGUAGUUAAUAACCAUUGCUUAUAUUGAGAUAUAUGGGUAUUAUCAGUGGCGAAGCCAGAAAUUUUUUAUACCGGGAUCGGAUAAAAAAAUCGAAAACAUAAUUUAUCAACCACAAAAAACUUCAAAUGUACCCUAGGCGCACUCUUUUUUUUUUUGAAUGUAAGAAUUUAUUCAAACAACAAAAAACGUUUGUACAGUGACGGGUCCAUUGUUUAGAGCGUUCUAUGUUUUUAGAGUUAAAAAAAAAACAUAGCAACAAUGAAUAAAAACAUAGUUCAAUCUCUAUUUCUAAAAUCUUCUCAAACCGAACUACACUACUAUAACAUUUUCAUUCUACGCACACUCAUAGCUUGAAAUAUUUUUAUAACAGUUUUAUUGGCUUAAAAAAUAUAGAAAACCAACCUAAACUUUAACUAAAAUAUAGUUAUAGAGCACAAGUUGUGAGUCCGCCAUCGUCUUGUGUUUCCAAGGAAGAAGAAUAAAUUUUAUUUUUUAAAGUUUACUUAUUUUUAAUGUUUUUGUAUUGUAAAUUAGUUGCACUUAAAACAAUUGGGGUUUAAACUAACAUAUUACUAAAGAUUAAAAGUAAUAAAAUGUGUUUAGAGAUUUAAUAUUUUUGGGUAAUUAUAGGAAAAUGAGGUUAAAACUAAUAUAAAUCCAAAAUUUUAAAGAUAAAAGUAUAACUAUUUAGUUUUAUAAUUAAAAUUUAUCUUUAAUGUUUAGUAAUUAUUUUUGUGGGGUCAAAAUUAUUUUUUUAGUGGAAUUAAGACAAUGUUUGCUUAAAACAAAACAACUUUUUUAAGUAGUAGGAUCAGCUGACCUUCCCUUAAGCUGCAUCCGGCCCUAGGUAUUAUACAAUACUUAUGGAAUAAGGCUGUAAUUAUUCAUUAAUAUUUUCAAGUGUUGUAAUUUGUAUAUGUAGUCGAGAUGUGGCUUUGUAAAAGGCAAGAAAAAAAUAUAGAAAAGUUUUAGAUUUUUUUUAAUAAAUCAGCAUGUCUGUUUUCUGUAGUUUUACCGUAAAAUUCUUCUAUUUUUGAUUUUUAUCAUUUAUUUUUUGACGAUGAUGUUUUUCUCUGACUAUUAUUAUUUGAACAUUUUAGAAUGCGCCUAACUUGUAUUAUUUAUUUUGAAAAUUAUUUUUCGCGGUCAAAAGUCUUGUAGAAGAAAAAAAGUUUAAGAGGGUGAUAGAGUAAUCAUAUUCAUAUCAAUCAGUCGUAAUAUAGUGUCGAUUUCAUAUUUUAAUUCUGGAAACAAAAAUUCAGAACAUAGGCGCCAAUUACGUUUUGCAAAGUGCCAAAGGCCUCCAAUCACGGAUCAUAAGCAAUUUUUAGUGAACAUGAUUUAUUCUUUCUUUUUUUGAAAGCUAACAUGAUUUAUUCUUUCUUUUAUUGAAGGUAUAACAUGAUUAUUCUUAAAUGGAAUCAAAAGAAUAGAUCGUGUCACUUGUUGAUUAAGUAAAGUUUUUUUGUAUUAUGUGAUAAUUAAACCAUAGUAUGUAGUAAUUGACAGAGAUAAAUGAGAAUGUUUAUCUUAUCGAAAAUAUUUUCUUUUUUCUUUUUAUUCAAUUUUAUCUUCUUUCGGUUUCUUGGUGUUACUGUUUUUUGUUGUCGAAAAAGUUGAAGAAAAAAUUAAAGAGAAAAACUAACAAAUGAAUUACACAGGAAAGAAAUCGUUUGACCUACAUGAUUUAUUUUUUUUCAUUUAAUUACUAUGUAAUAUAGUUUAACUACCACAUAAUACAAAAAAAAAUUAUUUAAUCAACACGUGACAGACAAUUUAUUUUCGGUAUUAUUUGACUAGUGAAAAUUAAGUAAAUUUAUUUUAUUAAAUUUAAGUACUCUUUCUUGGACCUACACUAUAAAACUUCUCUUUUUUUUUUGUCAUUGAAUAAAUUCCUCGAAGGAAACUCAACCAAGGGGUUGAGGUUAAAACAAACCAAAGUAAUCGAGUCCAAAUAAAAUGCAAAUAAACCCAAAGACACCAGUAGGCGCCAUGAAACAAGAUAAAACUCAAAGGGAAGAAAGGAGAAAGACAUCUUCCUGCUCAGAGGUCUGAGAUACAUGAUAGCGAACAUCAGACAACCGCCAUAGCUUCACUUCUAAUGCGAGACUCCAGCCAACCCGGACCAUUCGCAGACAUGUAAGACUGAUGGUGCUGAAUAUGUAAAGCACUUUCUGCGAUUGCAGAGGCAAUAAGGUUCCCAUUUGGAGAUGUUAACACUAACUUGCAAACCUCCAAUUGUCCAAUAGAUCUAUUGAAGCUUCUCCAGUGGGGUUGAAGCGAUUGUGGUAAGUUAGAAAUCGAUAAUGUCCCUGGGGACAUAGAAGAAGAGAACUCCAAGAUUACUCUAUUUAGGUGUAGAUCUCUCAUUGCCUCCACUGCCCAUACCAAAGCCACUAGAUCAGCUUCCAGUUGUGAACGUAUACCAACACAGGAUCGUCUACUAUGAAAAAGGGCUUUCCCAUGAGAGUCUCUUACGAUCCACUCCAUCCCCCCCGUGACCAUUACUUGAAGACCACGCCGACCCUACAUUACAUUUGACUACACCUACAGCAGGUUUUGUCCACAGAUUUGAGAUCGUUUCAUCACACGCAAUCUCGGUCGCGACAUUUGGAAUAAAGGAGUUCAGUCGAAGCCAUACUGCUGCUUCCUCCAAAGCCUUAUCUAUGGUAAUGGCAGGUUCAAUCCUUCUGUUCUCAAAACAGAACAGAUUCCUGUUCUUCCAUAUAUACCAAAGCACCCAAGGGAAGGCUAAACGGAGCUUAGGGUCCAAAGAAUUCUUCUUACUGCAAGAGAAGAGGUAGUGUAUAUUCAAAAAGACCGAGGAGCGUGAAAAACCUGCCAAAGGGAGAGGAAAUGAAGAUCUGUUCCAUACUUCUUUCGCCAUUGGACAAUGGAAAAGCAUAUGACAAAUCGAUUCUUGCUCUUGGCGGCAGAGAGGACAUACUGGAUCUGUUUGAAUGCCCCUAUAAAACUUCUCUUAGAGCAACAUUAUCAGUAUCCUUAACACUGUCCUUAACCUCUAAUUAUUACUUUUUAAAACAAAAGUGAGUUAGAGACGAAGCUUUCGUUUGUUAAUUAGUAGACGUUUAAUGCCCGUUCUUAAGGACACGCGUCGCAACCCGAGAGGAAGACCGAAUCGGGAGAGUUACAACGCGUGAAGUAUCGACUUCAUUUUCUUCGCCUAUCUUCUCUCCUUCUCUGGUGAUGGCGAUUGCAGAAGACGACACCGACCUCGACACCGCGUUCUCCGAUCUCGGUUACAAUCGCCACCUCUCUGCGUAUCGCAUCUCUUCUCCCUCACUUCUCUGAUCUAUCCGCCGAAUCGCGAUCUCCUUCUCUCAAUCGAAUCGAUUGUAAACAAGGUAAGCUCACUCCUCUGUACCUCGUUGUGAAAUUCGAUUGUUUAUUUUAGUUAUUAAAAUAAACAAUCAAAAUUUUCUAAGGACUCAUAAAAGUCCUUACCAAUAAUCAACAAAAAUUCAAAAGUCCUUAACUUUGUCCUUAAACCCUAAAGUAAUCAAUAAUAAUGCUAAGGACUUGUCCCUCCUAUAAUGAUGCUCUUACGAUUAUAUAUGUUAUUGGACCUCGUUUGUAAAACGGUCAAACCUUGUAAUUCAGCCAAUUGGGCUAGUUUCAAUAGAAACACCGUUGACAAAAAAAAUUAGAUUUUUAAGGCCAAUUUUCAAUGCUCCAUAACUAACUCAUAUUGGCCCGUUAAAUUGUCUACAAGUUUCAUCUUUCCUUUACGCCGCUUAACUUUGACGGAAAAGGUCUAUUUCAAAGACUUUACGCAUCGUGUUUUUUUCUUCACAAAUAGUGCGUUUUUUUAUCAUGAACACUCAAAAAAUUCAAAAAUCCUAUAUAUAUAUUGACUGUGAAAGAUGUUAGUCAACCGUUAAUUUAUCAACACGAUGUCGUUUUGGAUAAAUCUAAUUUAUCAAUCCCUUUACCACUAGGCCAAUUCAACGUUGGUUUUUAAUGUGGAUUUUGCGAGUGCGUACUUGAGCAACGUCUGUGUUGUGAAAGAGCUGCAUCGUAAUGGAAUUGGUUACAAACUCAUUAAAAAGUCUAAUGGAGUUGCUAGAGAAUGCGGUAAGAAAUGUUCUGAUCAAAACCCAUCAUACUCUCUAAAUUGGACUUAAAAGAGAGUUCUGAUAUGGCGCUCAGGGAUAACGGAUAUGUACGUGCAUGUGGCGGUGGACAAUGAAAAGCAGCGAAGAGGCUAUACAUGAAAAGUGGGUUCGAGCAAGAGAGCGCAAGAACGACUCUCAAAACUAUCAUGUGGUGUUGCAGUCUUCAAGGUUGAUGUGAUUUUUAUUGUAGGCGUGGUCAUCUCUUUGAUUAUGCCACCGGUGAGUAAUUGAAACAUGGAACAAGUACGUCAUGUUUUACAAUCUUUUUAUAGGUUUCUUUGGUUUGAUCUGCUGAACAAUUGAAUCAUGGAACAGAGCUGAGAAGAGAUGUCUGUUUAAAAUUUCUAAUUAUAAAUUUGUAUUUUUAUUUUUAAUAUGUUUUAUGUCAUAUUUGUUCAAAUGUUAUGAAAUCUAAUUAUUUAUAAGUUUUGUAAGCUUUAAAUUUAA
This is a long non-coding RNA of Brassica rapa (field mustard), 12269 nucleotides long. RefSeq lists it as uncharacterized. Lineage: Eukaryota; Viridiplantae; Streptophyta; Magnoliopsida; Brassicales; Brassicaceae. The record is from RefSeq and is a predicted model, not a curated record.